UGACGUAGGGGGCGAGCGUUGUCCGGAGUACUGGGACGUAAAGCGCACGCAGGCGGUCUGCUAAGUUUGGAGUGACAGUUGGUGGCUUAACUGCCAAAGUGCUUCGAAAACUGACAGACUUGAGGGCUUCAGAGGGACACGGAAUUCCGGGUGGAGUGGUGAAAUGCGUAGAGAUCCGGAGGAACACCAAAGGCGAAGGCAGUGUCCUGGGGAGUACCUGACGCUCGAGGUGACGGAAAGCCAGGGAGCGAACGGG
RNAcentral lists this ribosomal RNA (256 nucleotides) under uncultured bacterium. RNAcentral describes it as "partial 16S ribosomal RNA". It matches the Rfam family "Bacterial small subunit ribosomal RNA", at positions 523 to 776 of the family's 1533-position model. The record is from RNAcentral.